Molecule: transfer RNA, 79 nt
Filed under: Thermoprotei archaeon
Lineage: Archaea; Thermoproteati; Thermoproteota; Thermoprotei
Description: tRNA-Val
Rfam family: tRNA
About the family: Transfer RNA (tRNA) molecules are approximately 80 nucleotides in length. Their secondary structure includes four short double-helical elements and three loops (D, anti-codon, and T loops). Further hydrogen bonds mediate the characteristic L-shaped molecular structure. tRNAs have two regions of fundamental functional importance: the anti-codon, which is responsible for specific mRNA codon recognition, and the 3' end, to which the tRNAs corresponding amino acid is attached (by aminoacyl-tRNA synthetases). tRNAs cope with the degeneracy of the genetic code in two manners: having more than one tRNA (with a specific anti-codon) for a particular amino acid; and 'wobble' base-pairing, i.e. permitting non-standard base-pairing at the 3rd anti-codon position.
Source: RNAcentral
GGGGCCGUAGUCUAGCUUGGACUAGGAUGCCGGCCUGACCCGCCGGUGAACCCGGGUUCAAAUCCCGGCGGCCCCACCA